UAAUUGUUCCCACGUAGUCUAAGAAAAUGUAAAUUGAUUGUUCUGUGUGUAGAACCCUAACAGUCUGCACAUAAAACUGUAUAAAAGAAUUAAUGUUCGUAUAGGCUCUGUAAACGAACUUAGAUAAGUAGUACAUUAACGUUGGCGGCGCUACACAUUGUCUUUGUUAAGCGCGCCAGUAGCAGUAUGAAGUUCGAAGAGAAGGUAUCCUUCUUCGCUGCUGCUCACAGUUAUGUUGGUAGAAAGUUGCGUACUUGUCAACUUAUAGGAGCGAGAAUAUGAGAUCAUUGAUUGAAUUGAAGGGUUGUUGAUCACGAGUUUGUUGCGCCAUAAUUCAUGUGGAUUUGGCCACCAUCCUUUUUCUUUACUGUGAUUGAUUGCGAGUUGCUAAUAAAAUAUUGCAACGGAUCCCCAAAUUUGUAUGUCUCUGCUGCAAUUUAUAUUGUGUCAGCCAGGACCACUACAUUUGGUGUCAGAAGUGGGAUACGCAAUAGAACAUUAAAAGGACCGUGUGUCAAUAAGCAACACCGCCACCAUGUCGAAAAAAGGGAAGAAAAAACAGCAACUACCACCGAUGUUGAAUGAAAACGGCGAUGAUGAUGAGAUGUUCGUACCAACAACCCCCACCACGCAGACCGCAAACGACAAAGUAACAAUAAUCAUGCCAUCGGAGGUUGUAAAGAAGUUUAGUGAUGAGAUUACCCAAGUGACAGACAAUAUUGAUGAGGAAGACAUUCCGUCAACAAGUGGUGUCCGAAAGAGUCGACGGUUGCAGAAGUUGGAGGCGUUGUGUGAGGAAUAGAGUUUUGUUUUAAAAAAAAUUGAGAAAAAUAUA
Molecule: long non-coding RNA, 835 nt
Organism: Anneissia japonica
Lineage: Eukaryota; Metazoa; Echinodermata; Crinoidea; Comatulida; Comatulidae
Exons: 3
Source: RefSeq, a predicted model, not a curated record